CCGACGGUGAGGGACGAAAGCUGGGGGCACGAACCGGACUAGAUACCCGGGUAGUCCCAGCCGUAAACGAUGCUCGCUAGGUGUCUGGGAUGGUGCGACCGUUUCAGGUGCCGCAGGGAAGCCGUGAAGCGAGCCACCUGGGAAGUACGGCCGCAAGGCUGAAACUUAAAGGAAUUGGCGGGGGAGCACUACAACGGGUGGAGCCUGCGGUUUAAUUGGACUCAACGCCGGAAAACUCACCUGGGGC
This 247-nucleotide ribosomal RNA is filed under the name uncultured archaeon. RNAcentral describes it as "partial 16S ribosomal RNA". It matches the Rfam family "Archaeal small subunit ribosomal RNA", at positions 691 to 937 of the family's 1478-position model. The record is from RNAcentral.